This 253-nucleotide ribosomal RNA is filed under the name uncultured bacterium. Its description in RNAcentral is "partial 16S ribosomal RNA". It matches the Rfam family "Bacterial small subunit ribosomal RNA", at positions 524 to 776 of the family's 1533-position model. The record is from RNAcentral.
UACGUAGGGGGCAAGCGUUGUCCGGAUUCAUUGGGCGUAAAGCGCGUGUAGGCGGCCAGGUAGGUCGGUUGUGAAAACUGGAGGCUCAACCUUCAGAGGUCGACCGAAACCAUCUGGCUAGAGUCCGGGAGAGGAGAGUGGAAUUCCUGGUGUAGCGGUGAAAUGCGCAGAUAUCAGGAAGAACACCCGUGGCGAAAGCGGCUCUCUGGAACGGUACUGACGCUGAGACGCGAAAGCGUGGGGAGCGAACAGG